UACAGAGUUCCCAAGCGUUGUUCGGAUUCACUGGGCGUAAAGGGUGCGUAGGUGGCAGGGUAAGUUUGAUGUGAAAUCUCCGAGCUUAACUCGGAAACUGCAUUGAAUACUAUCCUGCUCGAGGGUUGGAAGGGGGACUGGAAUUCUCGGUGUAGCAGUGAAAUGCGUAGAUAUCGAGAGGAACACCAGUGGCGAAGGCGAGUCCCUGGACAACACCUGACACUGAGGCACGAAAGCUAGGGGAGCAAACAGG
This 253-nucleotide ribosomal RNA is filed under the name uncultured bacterium. RNAcentral's name for it is "partial 16S ribosomal RNA". It matches the Rfam family "Bacterial small subunit ribosomal RNA", at positions 524 to 776 of the family's 1533-position model. The record is from RNAcentral.